UGGGGGAUUUUGCACAAUGGGGGAAACCCUGAUGCAGCGACGCCGCGUGAUUUAGAAGGCCUUCGGGUUGUAAAAAUCUUUUCUAUGGGAAGAAAAUGACAGUACCAUAGGAAUAAGGACCGGCUAAUUACGUGUCAGCAGCCGCGGUAAUACGUAAGGUCCGAGCGUUGUCCGGAAUCAUUGGGCGUAAAGGGUACGUAGGCGGGUAAGCAAGUUAGAAGUGAAAUCCUAUAGCUCAACUAUAGUAAGCUUUUAAAACUGCUCAUCUUGAGGUAUGGAAGGGAAAGUGGAAUUCCUAGUGUAGCGGUGAAAUGCGCAGAUAUUAGGAGGAAUACCGGUGGCGAAGGCGACUUUCUGGCCAUAACCUGACGCUGAGGUACGAAAGCGUGGGUAGCAAACAGG
RNAcentral lists this ribosomal RNA (402 nucleotides) under bacterium. RNAcentral's name for it is "partial 16S ribosomal RNA". It matches the Rfam family "Bacterial small subunit ribosomal RNA", at positions 355 to 776 of the family's 1533-position model. The record is from RNAcentral.